This 80-nucleotide transfer RNA is filed under the name Actinomycetota bacterium. RNAcentral describes it as "tRNA-OTHER". The record is from RNAcentral. Lineage: Bacteria; Bacillati; Actinomycetota.
UCGAGCGCCUUAGGUCUUGUCUUCAAAACCAGUGCGGCCGUGCAACCCACGGCUCGGUCGGUUCGACUCCGGCGCCGCUC